GGAUCCAUACUAAAACAACACUGGUUCCAACAAACCAAAGCAGGUCUAAACCUUUUGCUACGGUAACCUUAAUAGUCCAUUCAUAAAAAUACAAAAUUCAAACUCAUCUAGACUAAUUGGCUAAAGCCCAUAAUUUAUCCAACAUUAAAAACCAAACUUAAAAAUAAAACAGAAAGGAACAAACGUAACAAAGAAAACCAAACUAAUUAUAGAGUCUGAUGAUUUUCAGAAAUAUAGUAAACAACAUUUACAAACUAAUAUGGCAUAGAUUGCAACUCAAUCAAAUAACUUUGUGUUCUUCAUUUCACAUAUCAAAGAGAUGAGGAAUACCUGGUCAAAACAGCAAAACAAACAAAAAAUGAGCUGGGAGCAAAUAGAAGCAGCAGCAGUAGUAAACUCAAAUAAAGAGGAAAACCACAGCAGGAUCAGCUCGAAAAUCAACAAUGGAACAGUGAUGAAACCAGCAACUCAAACCAAUUUUGAAAUCCCAAUUCAAGGCAUUUUCCAAUCAGGUGCCAGAACUUGAAACUUUUCAGAAUUUUUAACUAACAAAGAGGAUCAGGAAACUGAAACCAAGUGAAAUUUGAGCAAUUUUCAACAAAAAAAAAUCAGGGUUUUCAGUGUUAUUUCAGAGUUUUACUCAAGUCUCAGCCGUUUCAAUUUUUUAGGAUUUCUAUAAUCCAAAAUCUGACUUGAGAGUGAAGAACCAAUGCCCUUUAUAGGGAGCUUUAGAGCAACAGAAAUGAGUCAAGUUAUUGACCUUUACUCCUUUUCAAUUUUUUGUUUUUGCUAGUUAAUCCUCAAAUUCGAAUUUUAUUUGUUAAAACAGUCCCAAACCCACCUUCCUAGCAGCUUUCUAAAUUAGUUAUGAGAGAUUCCCUUACGUAAAUUCCCUAAACCAACCCUUACACCCCUUGUAUUUAUCCCAGCCUGCUAAACGGGUCAAAUUGACCCAAGGUUAACUGACAUGGGUCUGUAAAACCUGGGCUAACCCCUUCUUUUGGGCUUCUGAUUUUCAGAGCCCAAUUUAAAUCACAAACAAGGCUCACUGAAUUGAUGGGUUAAUCGGAAUUUCCCAAAAGAAAACCAAAAAAUCUUUUAAAAUGGAAACCAAAAGAAAAAGGGUAAAUGAACUAAUUAUAACCAAAUAAUAAGAACCAAAACAAAAAAUUAAACUUGUUACUAAUCUAAUUAUGCAACAGAACCAUGAUUAAAACGAAAACAUGAUAAAGAAAGAGGAGACAGAAAAGAGAUGAAGAUGAGAAGAAGGAUAAAAGAAAAGAAAAAUAAAAAGAAAGAGAGUACCUAAACGGAAAGCAGCAAACGAGCAUGGGUUAAACAAACUCAAACAUGUCGAUUUUGAGCCGAUAUUGGCCUCAAUCAUGUGUUCUUGUUAAGAACAGACAAUCAAGGCCAGUUUCGACCCUUAAUCUUUGUCAAACUUCGGAUGAUUUUUGGUUUUCUGCUUUUCUUCUUUCAGAUCUACGAUGAGUUCUGCUUGGCGAGGAUUCGAGGGAUAUUAAUGGUGGAUUUGUGUUCCCAGGGGUGUGAGGGUUGUGUGGUUAAAGUUUAGUGGUGGUUUGGAGCUGUUUCGCCGGUAAAAAUAGAGGAACUCUUAGAGGCGGCGCUACGUUGAGGGAGAUGGUGUGUCUCUGAUGAGGGAGAUAAGAGACAGGAACAGUACGGUGUACUAGGUUAAUGGGGG
This 1705-nucleotide long non-coding RNA is filed under the name Nicotiana tabacum (common tobacco). RNAcentral describes it as "long non-coding RNA (NTAB_LNC007806)". Lineage: Eukaryota; Viridiplantae; Streptophyta; Magnoliopsida; Solanales; Solanaceae. The record is from RNAcentral.